GCUGGGUGUGGUGGCAUGCACGCCUGUAGUCCCUGCUACUUGGGAGGCUGAGGUAGGAGGCUCACGUGAGCCUGGGAGGUCAAGGCUGCAGUGAGCCCAGAUUGCACCACUGCACUCUAGCCUAGGCCACAAAGUGAGACCCUGUCUCAA
RNAcentral lists this signal recognition particle RNA (150 nucleotides) under Chlorocebus sabaeus (green monkey). RNAcentral describes it as "Metazoan signal recognition particle RNA". It matches the Rfam family "Metazoan signal recognition particle RNA". Rfam says of the family: The signal recognition particle (SRP) is a universally conserved ribonucleoprotein. It is involved in the co-translational targeting of proteins to membranes. The eukaryotic SRP consists of a 300-nucleotide 7S RNA and six proteins: SRPs 72, 68, 54, 19, 14, and 9. The record is from Rfam by way of RNAcentral. Lineage: Eukaryota; Metazoa; Chordata; Mammalia; Primates; Cercopithecidae.